GGGGACCUUCGGGGCCCUAAAAGACCGAGCAAAACAAAUGCUCGAAACAUACGGUCGGGGCAACCCGACCUUGCUUAACGGAAGACAGAAA
Molecule: non-coding RNA, 91 nt
Filed under: unclassified sequences
Description: L2-Alphaproteobacteria ribosomal protein leader
Rfam family: L2-Alphaproteobacteria ribosomal protein leader
Source: RNAcentral